This 408-nucleotide ribosomal RNA is filed under the name uncultured Anaeroplasma sp. RNAcentral's name for it is "bacterial SSU rRNA". It matches the Rfam family "Bacterial small subunit ribosomal RNA", at positions 355 to 774 of the family's 1533-position model. Lineage: Bacteria; Bacillati; Mycoplasmatota; Mollicutes; Anaeroplasmatales; Anaeroplasmataceae. The record is from RNAcentral.
UAGGGAAUUUUCGGCAAUGGGGGGAACCCUGACCGAGCAACGCCGCGUGAACGAAGAAGUUAUUCGUAAUGUAAAGUUCUUUUAACAGGGAAGAAAGAGAAAUUUGACGGUACCUGAAGAAUAAGCUCCGGCUAACUACGUGCCAGCAGCCGCGGUAAUACGUAGGGAGCGAGCGUUAUCCGGAAUUAUUGGGCGUAAAGGGUGCGUAGAUGGCAUAGUAAGUCUUUUGUAAAAAUGCUGGGCUCAACCCAGUAGGGCAAAAGAUACUGCAAAGCUAGAGUAUGACAGAGGCAAGUGGAACUACAUGUGUAGCGGUAAAAUGCGUAAAUAUAUGUAAGAACACCAGUGGCGAAGGCGGCUUGCUGGGUCGAUACUGACAUUGAGGCACGAAAGCGUGGGGAGCAAACA